CCAUUUAGCCAGUCAGUACGAAUUCAAUAGUCGCGCCCAGAGCAACGGCAUUAGUUUUCACCGCCAGCCGCCGCCAGAUCCUUAAGUCCUGUCCAGCCGCUUCAAGAAGUUGGUUCGCAUACGAAAAACUCGAAUGAGAAAAUUGCGCAGUUGUUGUGAUUACAUAAUCGGAAGUACUUAGUGUCUGGGAGAGAGAGCUAUCGGAAGAAAAGCUAGCCAGUCGUAGGACUGGUCGAGUACCAGCUAGAUUUCGACAAAUUUGAAAAUUUAUUUGCGAGGCAGC
Drosophila hydei is the source of this 283-nucleotide long non-coding RNA. RefSeq lists it as uncharacterized. The transcript is spliced from 3 exons. The record is from RefSeq and is a predicted model, not a curated record. NCBI's taxonomy places the organism in Eukaryota, Metazoa, Arthropoda, Insecta, Diptera, Drosophilidae.